GGUUAAGCGACUAAGCGUACACGGUGGAUGCCCUGGCAGUCAGAGGCGAUGAAGGGCGUGCUAAUCUGCGAUAAGCGCCGGUAAGGUGAUAUGAACCGUUAUAACCGGCGAUACCCGAAUGGGGAAACCCAGUGUGAUUCGUCACACUAUCAUUACGUGAAUACAUAGCGUAAUGAAGCGAACCGGGGGAACUGAAACAUCUAAGUACCCCGAGGAAAAGAAAUCAACCGAGAUUCCCCCAGUAGCGGCGAGCGAACGGGGAGGAGCCCAGAGCCUGAAUCAGCAUGUGUGUUAGUGGAAGCGUCUGGAAAGGCGCGCGAUACAGGGUGACAGCCCCGUACACAAAAGCGCAUGUGUUGUGAGCUCGAUGAGUAGGGCGGGACACGUGGUAUCCUGUCUGAAUAUGGGGGGACCAUCCUCCAAGGCUAAAUACUCCUGACUGACCGAUAGUGAACCAGUACCGUGAGGGAAAGGCGAAAAGAACCCCGGCGAGGGGAGUGAAAAAGAACCUGAAACCGUGUACGUACAAGCAGUGGGAGCACCCUUUGGGGUGUGACUGCGUACCUUUUGUAUAAUGGGUCAGCGACUUAUAUUCUGUAGCAAGGUUAACCGAAUAGGGGAGCCGGAGGGAAACCGAGUCUUAAUUGGGCGUUAAGUUGCAGGGUAUAGACCCGAAACCCGGUGAUCUAGCCAUGGGCAGGUUGAAGGUUGGGUAACACUAACUGGAGGACCGAACCGACUAAUGUUGAAAAAUUAGCGGAUGACCUGUGGCUGGGGGUGAAAGGCCAAUCAAACCGGGAGAUAGCUGGUUCUCCCCGAAAGCUAUUUAGGUAGCGCCUCGUGAAUUCAUCUCCGGGGGUAGAGCACUGUUUCGGCUAGGGGGCCAUCCCGGCUUACCAACCCGAUGCAAACUGCGAAUACCGGAGAAUGUUAUCACGGGAGACACACGGCGGGUGCUAACGUCCGUCGUGAAGAGGGAAACAACCCAGACCGCCAGCUAAGGUCCCAAAGUCAUGGUUAAGUGGGAAACGAUGUGGGAAGGCCCAGACAGCCAGGAUGUUGGCUUAGAAGCAGCCAUCAUUUAAAGAAAGCGUAAUAGCUCACUGGUCGAGUCGGCCUGCGCGGAAGAUGUAACGGGGCUAAACCAUGCACCGAAGCUGCGGCAGCGACACUGUGUGUUGUUGGGUAGGGGAGCGUUCUGUAAGCCUGUGAAGGUGUGUCGUGAGGCAUGCUGGAGGUAUCAGAAGUGCGAAUGCUGACAUAAGUAACGAUAAAGCGGGUGAAAAGCCCGCUCGCCGGAAGACCAAGGGUUCCUGUCCAACGUUAAUCGGGGCAGGGUGAGUCGACCCCUAAGGCGAGGCCGAAAGGCGUAGUCGAUGGGAAACGGGUUAAUAUUCCCGUACUUGGUGUUACUGCGAAGGGGGGACGGAGAAGGCUAUGUUGGCCGGGCGACGGUUGUCCCGGUUUAAGCGUGUAGGUGUGUGUUCCAGGUAAAUCCGGUUCACUUUAACACUGAGGCGUGACGACGAGGCACUACGGUGCUGAAGCAACAAAUGCCCUGCUUCCAGGAAAAGCCUCUAAGCAUCAGGUAACAUCAAAUCGUACCCCAAACCGACACAGGUGGUCAGGUAGAGAAUACCAAGGCGCUUGAGAGAACUCGGGUGAAGGAACUAGGCAAAAUGGUGCCGUAACUUCGGGAGAAGGCACGCUGACACGUAGGUGAAGUGAUUUACUCAUGGAGCUGAAGUCAGUCGAAGAUACCAGCUGGCUGCAACUGUUUAUUAAAAACACAGCACUGUGCAAACACGAAAGUGGACGUAUACGGUGUGACGCCUGCCCGGUGCCGGAAGGUUAAUUGAUGGGGUCAGCGCAAGCGAAGCUCCUGAUCGAAGCCCCGGUAAACGGCGGCCGUAACUAUAACGGUCCUAAGGUAGCGAAAUUCCUUGUCGGGUAAGUUCCGACCUGCACGAAUGGCGUAAUGAUGGCCAGGCUGUCUCCACCCGAGACUCAGUGAAAUUGAACUCGCUGUGAAGAUGCAGUGUACCCGCGGCAAGACGGAAAGACCCCGUGAACCUUUACUAUAGCUUGACACUGAACAUUGAGCCUUGAUGUGUAGGAUAGGUGGGAGGCUUUGAAGUGUGGACGCCAGUCUGCAUGGAGCCGACCUUGAAAUACCACCCUUUAAUGUUUGAUGUUCUAACGUGGACCCGUGAUCCGGGUUGCGGACAGUGUCUGGUGGGUAGUUUGACUGGGGCGGUCUCCUCCUAAAGAGUAACGGAGGAGCACGAAGGUUGGCUAAUCCUGGUCGGACAUCAGGAGGUUAGUGCAAUGGCAUAAGCCAGCUUGACUGCGAGCGUGACGGCGCGAGCAGGUGCGAAAGCAGGUCAUAGUGAUCCGGUGGUUCUGAAUGGAAGGGCCAUCGCUCAACGGAUAAAAGGUACUCCGGGGAUAACAGGCUGAUACCGCCCAAGAGUUCAUAUCGACGGCGGUGUUUGGCACCUCGAUGUCGGCUCAUCACAUCCUGGGGCUGAAGUAGGUCCCAAGGGUAUGGCUGUUCGCCAUUUAAAGUGGUACGCGAGCUGGGUUUAGAACGUCGUGAGACAGUUCGGUCCCUAUCUGCCGUGGGCGCUGGAGAACUGAGGGGGGCUGCUCCUAGUACGAGAGGACCGGAGUGGACGCAUCACUGGUGUUCGGGUUGUCAUGCCAAUGGCACUGCCCGGUAGCUAAAUGCGGAAGAGAUAAGUGCUGAAAGCAUCUAAGCACGAAACUUGCCCCGAGAUGAGUUCUCCCUGAGACUUAAAGUCUCCUGAAGGAACGUUGAAGACGACGACGUUGAUAGGCCGGGUGUGUAAGCGCAGCGAUGCGUUGAGCUAACCGGUACUAAUGAACCGUGAGGCUUAACCUU
Molecule: ribosomal RNA, 2905 nt
Filed under: Salmonella enterica subsp. enterica serovar Newport
Lineage: Bacteria; Pseudomonadati; Pseudomonadota; Gammaproteobacteria; Enterobacterales; Enterobacteriaceae
Description: 23S ribosomal RNA
Rfam family: Bacterial large subunit ribosomal RNA
Source: RNAcentral